GCGGAGCUGGGUGGCGCGUCAGGACAACAUUCCUCGGGGCCGUACGAUCCCCAUGGGAGCUGUCCCUGCCCUAGCCCGUGGGCUUUGGCACACGGCGCCCACCUACUUACGUAGGCGCCCGGGAUCACCGUCCAACGGCCUUCUCGGCUCCGCG
RNAcentral lists this non-coding RNA (154 nucleotides) under Roseiarcus fermentans. RNAcentral describes it as "6S / SsrS RNA". It matches the Rfam family "6S / SsrS RNA". Rfam says of the family: E. coli 6S RNA was the first non coding RNA to be sequenced, but its function was unknown until recently. It consists of 184 nucleotides that fold into an extended hairpin structure with a large single-stranded internal bulge. Lineage: Bacteria; Pseudomonadati; Pseudomonadota; Alphaproteobacteria; Hyphomicrobiales; Roseiarcaceae. The record is from Rfam by way of RNAcentral.